GCCAGGUGUGGUGGUGCAUGCCUGUGGUCCCAGCUACUCAGGAGGCUGAGGCAGGAGGAUUGCUUGAGCCCAGGAGUUUGAGACCAGCCUGGGUAACACAGCAAGACUCUGCCUCUU
This 117-nucleotide small RNA is filed under the name Macaca mulatta (Rhesus monkey). RNAcentral describes it as "Metazoan signal recognition particle RNA (ENSMMUG00000059639.1)". The record is from Rfam by way of RNAcentral. Lineage: Eukaryota; Metazoa; Chordata; Mammalia; Primates; Cercopithecidae.